CCAGCAGCCACCGGAGGCAGUGAGAUAAUGGAGGAAGAAUGUAGGGAGACCUCCAGUGGACCGCACUCCUUCUAGCGAGCCGCGGAAACCAUAGAGAUCAGGGCUCAGCCGGAGGGCCGGCCCACUGCUGUCACGUGGCCUCCAUCCGUGCGCUUUAUUGGCUGGUGCUGGCUUUACGGGGUUGAAUUUUGGACGCUGCCUGCCAUUCGUGGGACCGAGUUUCAGGCAGCUGGAAUAAAGAGAGACAUCGGGGGAAAGCCGCGAGAAGGCCAGCGUCCCUGGCUGGGAGCAGAGCUAGCCGAGUAGGGCGCCCGGCUGUCAAACUGGCCGGCGCAGUGCACGCUGGGCCGCCCCGGAGCGGUCGCAGAGCCCGUCGGGAGUCGUAGUCCGGGACGGGCCCGCGGCAUUGUCCGCGACGCAGCUCGGGAUCCGGGUCGGGGUGUCGGCCGGGUUGCUGCCGGGCACCGUCGAGCGUUAGCCACCCAGCAUUGAGCUGCCAGCGGCUGUUCUCCCUAAGCACCCUCGCUCACGUCGCCUCGCCUCGCCUCGCCUGACCGGCCGCAGCCUUGGAUACCAGCCUUAAAUCGAGCCGACUACGGCCCAGCCCCGCCCGCGGCGAGGUGCGCGGGGUUCGGUGCCAGCCGCUCGCCCCUGGCGGGGCCAGCCUCUUGAUGCACCGGGGACGGCCCCCAGCUAGAGUUGGCUUCAGCGGAAUACCUACUGUGCGGGAUUAUUCAACAAGCCGAUUGAUCACAUUCUUCAGCUCUAGCAGUGCAAAGGCUUCACUGAAAAAGAACAUUACAAAUUUUUUUUGAAAGAAAUUUGGGGGAAUCCACUGAAGACCUACAUUUCCCGGAAGGUUAACAGCCCCCUUCUCAGUUUUCCUGCUGCUCCUAUCAGUGACAAAUCAGCGUAUUAGAACAUGCAUGCUGGCUGAUCAUUCUGAUCAAGUCAACAAGCUUCACAACUUACUCAAUGAGGUCGUCCGUGAGAACUUCACUGUUUUACGGGGACAGGAGCUACUUCUUUGCUGAACUGCAUCACGGUUUCAACUGCUGAGGUUUUCUUCAAGCUUUUGCAUUGUUUGGAAUGUGAAGGGCAUGGCCGAGACACACUUUGAGGUUCCCACUGCAUUGUUACACCUCCCCCCUCACUUCAGGGCCAGGUAACACCAAGAAGGACGCCAUGAGAGCGAAGGCCGUUGGGUCACCGCCCUUUGCUCUCGCGCUGCGCGUCUCCCUGCCAUCAACCGCCGCAACUGGCGCUGGGAGCGGUUGAGGGCGGCCGGCCUCGCGCUGGAACCUCGCCCGCCUCAAGGCUCCUGCGGCGGCACACGGGGCAGGCCAGGACCCGCCCUAGGAGGGCCCCGCUGGAGAUGUGGAAAUGGAGGGACGCGGCACCUGGGCGCUUCCUGGGGCCAGACAACGCCCCCUCAUUGGAACCUCCAUGACCCUGCCUCUGAGAAACCAGCGCGUCCGCAACGAUCACUCCUAAUUUUCGGUAAUACAAACCUGCAGUCCAUGCACUUAGGUAACACCCUUGCUGAAAGGUUUACCUUUGGAGGGUUUAUCCUAAAGCAAAGUAUCCUCAAAUUGCAUGUCUUGCAUUCCCUUUGGAUGGCAUUGAUUUCAUUCCUGCUCAUGCCUUUCAAAAAAUAGUAUGCCCUGUUUUCCUACUCAGUCUGGAGGUUCCAUUAAAGAGUAUUUCUGGCAAAGAUUUUUAGACCUGAAAACACACUCCAAAAUAUAUUUUCUUCUGACUCCAUUCCCAGAGUUUUUCCUACCGCAUUCAAAUGAUUUCUAGAAAUGUUUUUGUUGUAGCCUUGAUCAAUUUCAGUCGAUAAAGCAGCAGAUAGUAAGGGAACAAUUCCACGCUCCCCACCCCUGACUCUGCAACACAGUGCAGAAUUCCAGUUGGCAAUAAAAAACUAGUAGAGAAGGAACUCACUGACUUCAGUUUGUAAUACCGUCAGAAGAAACUUUAAUCGUCACAUCCUUUCUGCUCAUUUGCAGGAUUCCUAUCAUCUGUCUCCACGUGAUAACACUGAAGAGCCUUCACAUUGAUGCAGGCCCAGGGCCUCAAGUGCAGAGACUGAGAGCUCUGCAGGACACAGCAUGGAGCCGCCAUUCCUCUACUGGGUGGAGGAGCAUGUGUCCUCUGAACAGGGGAU
Molecule: long non-coding RNA, 2170 nt
Filed under: Homo sapiens (human)
Lineage: Eukaryota; Metazoa; Chordata; Mammalia; Primates; Hominidae
Description: HSALNT0165857
Source: RNAcentral